AUUGAACGCUGGCGGCAUGCCUUACACAUGCAAGUCGAACGGCAGCACGGGAGCAAUCCUGGUGGCGAGUGGCGAACGGGUGAGUAAAGUAUCGGAACGUGCCCAGUCGUGGGGGAUAACGUAGCGAAAGUUACGCUAAUACCGCAUACAAUCUAUGGAUGAAAGCGGGGGAUCGCAAGACCUCGCGCGCUUGGAGCGGCCGAUAUCAGAUUAGGUAGUUGGUGGGGUAAAGGCUCACCAAGCCGACGAUCUGUAGCUGGUCUGAGAGGACGACCAGCCACACUGGGACUGAGACACGGCCCAGACUCCUACGGGAGGCAGCAGUGGGGAAUUUUGGACAAUGGCGAAAGCCUGAUCCAGCCAUGCCGCGUGCAGGAUGAAGGCCUUCGGGUUGUAAACUGCUUUUGUACGGAACGAAAAGGUUUGGCCUAAUAAGCUGAGCUCAUGACGGUACCGUAAGAAUAAGCACCGGCUAACUACGUGCCAGCCGCCGCGGUAA
RNAcentral lists this ribosomal RNA (499 nucleotides) under uncultured bacterium. RNAcentral describes it as "partial 16S ribosomal RNA". It matches the Rfam family "Bacterial small subunit ribosomal RNA", at positions 30 to 523 of the family's 1533-position model. The record is from RNAcentral.